AGCGAACGCUGGCGGCAGGCUUAACACAUGCAAGUCGAGCGCCCGUAGCAAUACGGGAGCGGCAGACGGGUGAGUAACACGUGGGAACGUGCCUUUUGGUUCGGAACAACUGAGGGAAACUUCAGCUAAUACCGGAUAAGCCCUUACGGGGAAAGAUUUAUCGCCAAAAGAUCGGCCCGCGUCUGAUUAGCUAGUUGGUGGGGUAAUGGCCCACCAAGGCUACGAUCAGUAGCUGGUCUGAGAGGAUGAUCAGCCACACUGGGACUGAGACACGGCCCAGACUCCUACGGGAGGCAGCAGUGGGGAAGUCUUUGGACAAUGGGCGCAAGCCUGAUCCAGCCAUGCCGCGUGAGUGAUGAAGGCCUUAGGGUUGUAAAGCUCUUU
This 384-nucleotide ribosomal RNA is filed under the name uncultured bacterium. RNAcentral's name for it is "bacterial SSU rRNA". It matches the Rfam family "Bacterial small subunit ribosomal RNA", at positions 29 to 436 of the family's 1533-position model. The record is from RNAcentral.